UAGGAAUUGAUUACUGUUCAUAUUUUAGUGUUAGGCAUAGGUUACUCUUUGUAUUUUAGCAUUCGGCAUAGAUUGCUACUAACAACUGGAAGUAAACGCUGCUCAUUUGGUAAGCACACUGCUUACCUGCUUUAUGAGUGCAGUUGAGUACAAAUGAGUACAACUGCCGUGAGAACGUUUGAUGUUUGAUGACAUCUCCGAUUAUUUGAAUUUCAGCCUUGUGACUUUUCCGCUGCAGAAUAUCGAGGAACAGAGCCUGAGUGGCCGAGAAAUUGAGUUGGGACUCAGGAGAACAAUUUGUGACUGUCACAAACUUCCUGUGUGGCCAUUGCAGGUUGGUGUUGUACAGCACAGCAGCAGCACGGUUGGAAUACAUACACGGAGGUACGUGAAAUGUAUAACGUGAACUUGAAUAUUGUUAAGAUUAUUAUUGUUAAUUAUUAGUGUUAAUAAAACAGUCAUUGUGAAUGUGUGAUCAACUUGGGGGUAAGUUUAUUCUUGCCUGUUAAGCUUUUCCCUU
RNAcentral lists this long non-coding RNA (520 nucleotides) under Gallus gallus (chicken). The record is from RNAcentral. Lineage: Eukaryota; Metazoa; Chordata; Aves; Galliformes; Phasianidae.